CCUACGGGAGGCAGCAGUGAGGAAUUUUGCGCAAUGGGGGAAACCCUGACGCAGCAACGCCGCGUGAGUGAUGAAGGCCUUCGGGUCGUAAAGCUCUGUCAAGUGGGAAGAACCUGCUCUGUGAUAACACCACGGGGCACCGACGGUACCACUGAAGGAAGCACCGGCUAACUCCGUGCCAGCAGCCGCGGUAAUACGGGGGGUGCUAGCGUUAUUCGGAAUCAUUGGGCGUAAAGGGCGCGUAGGCGGUCUUUUAAGUCAGAUGUGAAAGCCCUCGGCUUAACCGAGGAAGUGCAUUUGAUACUAAGAGACUUGAGUAUGGGAGAGGGAAGCGGAAUUCCUGGUGUAGCGGUGAAAUGCGUAGAUAUCAGGAGGAACACCGGUGGCGAAGGCGGCUUCCUGGACCAAUACUGACGCUGAGGCGCGAAGGCGUGGGGAGCAAACAGGAUUAGAUACCCUGGUAGUCCACGCAGUAAACGGUGAACACUAGGUGUAGCGGGUAUUGACCCCUGCUGUGCCGAAGCUAACGCAUUAAGUGUUCCGCCUGGGAAGUACGGCCGCAGGGUUAAAACUUAAAGGAAUUGACGG
RNAcentral lists this ribosomal RNA (588 nucleotides) under uncultured bacterium. RNAcentral describes it as "bacterial SSU rRNA". It matches the Rfam family "Bacterial small subunit ribosomal RNA", at positions 338 to 916 of the family's 1533-position model. The record is from RNAcentral.